GAGGAAAAGAAACCAACAGGGAUUGCCCCAGUAACGGCGAGUGAAGCGGCAACAGCUCAAAUUUGAAAUCUGGCCCCUAGGGUCCGAGUUGUAAUUUGUAGAGGAUGCUUUUGGUGAGGUGCCGCCCGAGUUCCCUGGAACGGGACGCCACAGAGGGUGAGAGCCCCGUCUGGCUGGCCGCCGAGCCUCUGUAAAGCUCCUUCGACGAGUCGAGUAGUUUGGGAAUGCUGCUCAAAAUGGGAGGUAUAUGUCUUCUAAAGCUAAAUAUUGGCCAGAGACCGAUAGCGCACAAGUAGAGUGAUCGAAAGAUGAAAAGCACCUUGAAAAGAGGGUUAAAUAGUACGUGAAAUUGUUGAAAGGGAAGCGCUUGUGACCAGACUUGGGCGCGGCGGAUCAUCCGGGGUUCUCUCCGGUGCACUUCGCCGCGUCUAGGCCAGCAUCAGUUCGUCGCGGGGGAAAAAGGCUUCGGGAACGUGGCUCCUCCGGGAGUGUUAUAGCCCGUUGCAUAAUACCCUGCGGUGGACUGAGGACCGCGCAUCUGCAAGGAUGCUGGCGUAAUGGUCACCAGCGACCCGUC
Molecule: ribosomal RNA, 577 nt
Filed under: Trichoderma amazonicum
Lineage: Eukaryota; Fungi; Ascomycota; Sordariomycetes; Hypocreales; Hypocreaceae
Description: eukaryotic LSU rRNA
Rfam family: Eukaryotic large subunit ribosomal RNA
Source: RNAcentral